AUCGCUUACUUGCACGUGAUGGGCGGUUAGUUCGAGUUAAUUUAUGUGAAGUGGUGGCCGCUGAAGCUAAAGGCAGAAGGUUUCUUGUGUAUCUGAGCUUUACAAGUUCCGAAGCUAUCUCUGCUGGAAAAGUUUAGAAAAUAGCCGAGUAUGCUGCAGCUAAUGCAAAAUAUAAGGCAAAAAAAGUGCUAGAAAAUAUCGGGUUAAGAAGUGCGAUGUUAAAAGAGCAGUUGAAUGAGAGAGCAAAAUAGCGACCUAACUCCCGCGUUGGAAAUAAACAGAUAUAAUGACUUUUUUGACAAAUAUAUACAUAUAUAUUUUUUUACAAUAAUCAAGAAUUUUUUUGUCAGUAGCUCGCGAGAAAAUCGAACAUAGCUAGACAAUUACACACGACAUAAUUAUGUACACAUGGGCACAUACAUGCAUGGACACACAACCCCCACCCUAUAGUCCCACUGCCUACUAGAAAUACUGUUGCUGUACUGAACGAAGCUCUUCGCAGAAGACCUAAGUACCUAACAGAUCGCCGCACUAUCAACAGAGCUUAGCAGCAUUACUUACAUAGCGGUGCGACAUACGACGAUGCUCUCCGCAUGGGGAAAAAUACCAUUCAAGCGAAGCAAUGGCUUGAAAAAUGUUUUGGGGACCCCGCUCCAUCAGAAACAACAAUAAAAGGAUGGCUUGCUGACUUCAAAAUUGGUCGUAGAUACACCGAUGAUGCACAACGCAGCGCAGUGGAAGUCCAAACGGGGCGGUAACACCAGAAAACAUCAA
Anastrepha ludens (Mexican fruit fly) is the source of this 774-nucleotide long non-coding RNA. RefSeq lists it as uncharacterized. The record is from RefSeq and is a predicted model, not a curated record. Lineage: Eukaryota; Metazoa; Arthropoda; Insecta; Diptera; Tephritidae. The transcript has 4 exons.